Small nucleolar RNA from Suncus etruscus (white-toothed pygmy shrew), 216 nucleotides. RefSeq annotates it as small nucleolar RNA U3. Lineage: Eukaryota; Metazoa; Chordata; Mammalia; Eulipotyphla; Soricidae. The record is from RefSeq and is a predicted model, not a curated record. The transcript has a single exon.
AAGCCCUGAGCACUAGUGGGAUCAUUUCUAUAGUAUGUGACUAGAGAAGUUUCUCUGAUCCUGUAGAGCACCCGAACCCACGAGGAGGAGCCAGAGCAACCUCUCCUGAGUGUGAAGCCAGCUCUAGGUGUCGCUUCUGCGACUGCCUUUUGCCAUUGAUGAUCGUUCUCCCUUUCCUCCGGAGAGGGUAGAGGGAGAGGAUGCAGUCUGAGUAGU